CUACGGGUUGCAGCAGUGGGGAAUAUUGGACAAUGGGCGCAAGCCUGAUCCAGCAAUGCCGCGUGAGUGAAGACGGCCUUAGGGUCGUAAAACUCUUUCGCUAGGGAAGAUAAUGACUGUACCUAGUAAAGAAGUCCCGGCUAACUCCGUGCCAGCAGCCGCGGUAAUACGGAGGGGACUAGCGUUGUUCGGAAUUACUGGGCGUAAAGAGUUCGUAGGCGGACUGACAAGUUAGAGGUGAAAUCCCAGGGCUCAACCCUGGAACUGCCUUUAAAACUGUCAGUCUAGAGACCGGAAGAGGUUAGGGGAAUACCUAGUGUAGAGGUGAAAUUCGUAGAUAUUAGGUGGAACACCAGUGGCGAAGGCGCCUAACUGGUCCGGUACUGACGCUGAGGAACGAAAGCGUGGGGAGCAAACAGGAUUAGAUACCCGGGUAGUC
Molecule: ribosomal RNA, 439 nt
Filed under: uncultured bacterium
Lineage: Bacteria
Description: partial 16S ribosomal RNA
Rfam family: Bacterial small subunit ribosomal RNA
Source: RNAcentral